This 292-nucleotide ribosomal RNA is filed under the name uncultured bacterium. Its description in RNAcentral is "partial 16S ribosomal RNA". The record is from RNAcentral.
GGACUACACGGGUAUCUAAUCCUGUUUGCUCCCCACGCUUUCGUGUCUCAGCGUCAGUAUUCGUCCAGUUGGCCGCCUUCGCCGCCGGUGUUCCUCUCGAUAUCUACGAAUUUCACCUCUACACCGAGAAUUCCACCAACCUCUCCGAUACUCGAGCCAUACAGUAUCGGGUGCACUUCCCAGGUUAAGCCUGGGGCUUUCACAUCCGACUUAUAUGGCCGCCUACACACGCUUUACGCCCAGUAAUUCCGAACAACGUUUGCACCCUCUGUCUUACCGCGGCUGCUGGCAC